CCUACGGGGGGCAGCAGUGGGGAAUAUUGGACAAUGGGCGAAAGCCUGAUCCAGCCAUGCCGCGUGUGUGAAGAAGGCCUGCGGGUUGUAAAGCACUUUCAGUGGGGAAGAAAGCCUUGGGGCUAAUACCCUCGAGGAAGGACAUCACCCACAGAAGAAGCACCGGCUAACUCCGUGCCAGCAGCCGCGGUAAUACGGAGGGUGCGAGCGUUAAUCGGAAUUACUGGGCGUAAAGCGCGCGUAGGCGGUCUGAUAAGCCGGUUGUGAAAGCCCCGGGCUCAACCUGGGAACGGCAUCCGGAACUGUCAGGCUAGAGUGCAGGAGAGGAAGGUAGAAUUCCCGGUGUAGCGGUGAAAUGCGUAGAGAUCGGGAGGAAUACCAGUGGCGAAGGCGGCCUUCUGGACUGACACUGACGCUGAGGUGCGAAAGCGUGGGUAGCAAACAGGAUUAGAUACCCUGGUAGUC
Molecule: ribosomal RNA, 465 nt
Filed under: Vreelandella stevensii
Lineage: Bacteria; Pseudomonadati; Pseudomonadota; Gammaproteobacteria; Oceanospirillales; Halomonadaceae
Description: partial 16S ribosomal RNA
Rfam family: Bacterial small subunit ribosomal RNA
Source: RNAcentral